RNAcentral lists this ribosomal RNA (497 nucleotides) under uncultured bacterium. RNAcentral's name for it is "partial 16S ribosomal RNA". It matches the Rfam family "Bacterial small subunit ribosomal RNA", at positions 28 to 507 of the family's 1533-position model. The record is from RNAcentral.
GACGAACGCUGGCGGCGUGCCUAAUACAUGCAAGUCGAACGCUGAAGCUUGGUGCUUGCACCGAGCGGAUGAGUUGCGAACGGGUGAGUAACGCGUAGGUAACCUGCCUGGUAGCGGGGGAUAACUAUUGGAAACGAUAGCUAAUACCGCAUAAGAGUAGAUGUUGCAUGACCUUUGCUUAAAAGGUGCAAUUGCAUCACUACCAGAUGGACCUGCGUUGUAUUAGCUAGUUGGUGAGGUAACGGCUCACCAAGGCAACGAUACAUAGCCGACCUGAGAGGGUGAUCGGCCACACUGGGACUGAGACACGGCCCAGACUCCUACGGGAGGCAGCAGUAGGGAAUCUUCGGCAAUGGACGGAAGUCUGACCGAGCAACGCCGCGUGAGUGAAGAAGGUUUUCGGAUCGUAAAGCUCUGUUGUAAGAGAAGAACGAGUGUGAGAGUGGAAAGUUCACACUGUGACGGUAUCUGACCAGAAAGGGACGGCUAACUACGUG